AGCGUGUGGUUUAAUUCGAGGCUACGCGAAGAACCUUACCUGGGCUUGACAUGCUUCGGAAAGCCUGGUGAAAGCCAGGUCCUCCCGCAAGGGACCGUUGCACAGGUGGUGCAUGGCUGUCGUCAGCUCGUGCCGUGAGGUGUUGGGUUAAGCCCCGCAACGAGCGCAACCCCUGUCCUUAGUUGAAUGCUCUAGGGAGACUGCCGGGCGAAACCCGGAGGAAGGUGGGGAUGAUGUCAAGUCAGCAUGCCCUUUAUGCCCAGGGCUACACACACGCUACAAUGGCCGGUACAACGGGCUCCGACACGGCGACGUGAAGGUAAUCCCUUAAAACCGGUCUCAGUUCGGAUUGCAGGCUGCAACCCGCCUGCAUGAAGUCGGAGUUGCUAGUAACCGCCGGUCAGCACACGGCGGUGAAUACGUUCCCGGGCCUUGCACUCACCGCCCGUC
Molecule: ribosomal RNA, 450 nt
Filed under: uncultured bacterium
Lineage: Bacteria
Description: bacterial SSU rRNA
Rfam family: Bacterial small subunit ribosomal RNA
Source: RNAcentral